RNAcentral lists this transfer RNA (87 nucleotides) under Actinomycetota bacterium. Its description in RNAcentral is "Actinobacteria bacterium (freshwater metagenome) tRNA-Leu". It matches the Rfam family "tRNA". From Rfam's summary of the family: Transfer RNA (tRNA) molecules are approximately 80 nucleotides in length. Their secondary structure includes four short double-helical elements and three loops (D, anti-codon, and T loops). Lineage: Bacteria; Bacillati; Actinomycetota. The record is from RNAcentral.
GCCCGGGUGGCGGAACUGGCAGACGCAGGGGGCUUAAACCCCCCGGCCCUUCGGGGCGUGCGGGUUCGAACCCCGCCCCGGGCACCA